This 497-nucleotide ribosomal RNA is filed under the name uncultured bacterium. RNAcentral describes it as "partial 16S ribosomal RNA". It matches the Rfam family "Bacterial small subunit ribosomal RNA", at positions 28 to 507 of the family's 1533-position model. The record is from RNAcentral.
GAUGAACGCUGGCGGCGUGCCUAAUACAUGCAAGUCGAGCGAACAGACGAGGCUCUUGCUCCUCUGACGUUAGCGGCGGACGUGUGAGUAACACGUGGAUAACCUACCUAUCAGACUGGGAUAACUUCGGGAAACCGGCGCUAAUCCCGGAUAAUCUAUUGAACCGUAUGGUUCAAUAGUGAAAGUCGGUUUUGCUGUCACUUAUCGAUGGAUCCGCGCCGCAUUAGCUAGUUGUUAAGGUAACGGCUUACCAAGGCGACGAUGCGUAGCCGACCUGAGAGGGGGAUAGGCGACAUGGGAACGGAGACACGGACCAGACUCCUACGGGAGGCAGCAGUAGGGAAUGUGCGGCAGUAGGCGAGAGCAUGACGGAGCAACGCGGAGUGAGUGAUGAAGGUCUUCGGAUCGUAAAAAUCUGUUAUGAGGGAAGAACAAAUGUGGAAGUAACUAUGCACGGCUUGACGGUACCUGAUCAGAAAGCCACGGCUAACUACGUG